GAGUUUGAUCCUGGCUCAGGAUGAACGCUAGCGGCAGGCCUAAUACAUGCAAGUCGUGGGGUAACAGGAAAGCUUGCUUUCGCUGACGACCGGCAAACGGGUGCGUAACACGUAUGCAACUUUCCUCUAACAGGGACAUAGCCAUGAGAAAUUAUGAUUAAUAUCCCAUAGUAUCCUUAACUCGCAUGGGUUGAGGAUUAAAUGCUCCGGCGGUUAGAGAUAGGCAUGCGGCCCAUUAGUUAGUUGGUGAGGUAACGGCUCACCAAGACCGCGAUGGGUAGGGGGCGUGAGAGCGUGGCCCCCCACACGGGCACUGAGACACGGGCCCGACUCCUACGGGAGGCAGCAGUAGGGAAUAUUGGGCAAUGGACGCAAGUCUGACCCAGCCAUGCCGCGUGGAGGAUGACAGCCUUAGGGUUGUAAACUCCUUUUAUAUGGAAAGAACAGCAUCCUUUUUAGGAUGUUUGACGGUACCUUAUGAAUAAGCACCGGCUAACUCCGUGCCAGCAGCCGCGGUAAUACGGAGGGUGCAAGCGUUAUCCGGAUUCACUGGGUUUAAAGGGUGCGUAGGCGGAUUAAUAAGUCAGAGGUGAAAGCCCGGAGCUCAACUUCGGAAUUGCCUCUGAUACUGUUGAUCUUGAGUUUGGUUGAUGUGGGCGGAAUAUGUCAUGUAGCGGUGAAAUGCGUAGAUAUGACAUAGAACACCAAUUGCGAAGGCAGCUCACUAAGCCAAUACUGACGCUGAGGCACGAAAGCGUGGGGAGCGAACAGGAUUAGAUACCCUGGUAGUCCACGCCGUAAACUAUGAUUACUCGAUUUAUAUACUUUUGUAUGUGAGUCCAAGCGAAAGCGUUAAGUAAUCCACCUGGGAAGUACGGUCGCAAGACUGAAACUCAAAGGAAUUGGCGGGGGUCCGCACAAGCGGUGGAGCAUGUGGUUUAAUUCGAUGAUAAGCGAGGAACCUUACCUGGGCUCUAAUGUAUGUGGACAGUCUCCGAAAAGAGAUUUCCCUUCGGGGUCGCAUACAAGGUGCUGCAUGGUUGUCGUCAGCUCGUGCCGUGAGGUGUUGGGUUAAGUCCCGCAACGAGCGCAACCCUUACCCUUAGUUACCAGCAUUAAGUUGGGGACUCUAAGGGAACUGCCUACGCAAGUAGGAGGAAGGUGGGGACGACGUCAAAUCAUCAUGGCCUUUAUGCCCAGGGCUACACACGUGCUACAAUGGUCAGUACAAAGGGUCGCUACCUGGCAACAGGAUGCCAAUCCCUAAAAGCUGAUCUCAGUUCGGAUUGGAGUCUGCAACUCGACUCCAUGAAGCUGGAAUCGCUAGUAAUCGCGUAUCAGCAAUGGCGCGGUGAAUACGUUCCCGGACCUUGCACUCACCGCCCGUC
Molecule: ribosomal RNA, 1388 nt
Filed under: uncultured marine bacterium
Lineage: Bacteria
Description: bacterial SSU rRNA
Rfam family: Bacterial small subunit ribosomal RNA
Source: RNAcentral